This 515-nucleotide ribosomal RNA is filed under the name Scheffersomyces shehatae. Its description in RNAcentral is "eukaryotic LSU rRNA". It matches the Rfam family "Eukaryotic large subunit ribosomal RNA", at positions 116 to 649 of the family's 3401-position model. The record is from RNAcentral. Lineage: Eukaryota; Fungi; Ascomycota; Pichiomycetes; Serinales; Debaryomycetaceae.
UGAAAUCUGGCACCUUCGGUGUCCGAGUUGUAAUUUGAAGAAGGUAACUUUGGAGUUGGCUCUUGUCUAUGUUCCUUGGAACAGGACGUCACAGAGGGUGAGAAUCCCGUGCGAUGAGAUGUCCAACUCUAUGUAAAGUGCUUUCGAAGAGUCGAGUUGUUUGGGAAUGCAGCUCUAAGUGGGUGGUAAAUUCCAUCUAAAGCUAAAUAUUGGCGAGAGACCGAUAGCGAACAAGUACAGUGAUGGAAAGAUGAAAAGAACUUUGAAAAGAGAGUGAAAAAGUACGUGAAAUUGUUGAAAGGGAAGGGUUUGAGAUCAGACUUGGUAUUUUGUAUGUCUUGCUUUCGGGUGGGGCCUCUGCAGUUUACUGGGCCAGCAUCGGUUUGGACGGUAGGAUAAUGACAUUGGAAUGUGGCACUACUUCGGUGGUGUGUUAUAGACUUUGUUGAUACUGCCUGUCUAGACCGAGGACUGCGUCUUUGACUAGGAUGCUGGCAUAAUGAUCCUAAACCGCC